Molecule: ribosomal RNA, 200 nt
Filed under: uncultured bacterium
Lineage: Bacteria
Description: partial 16S ribosomal RNA
Rfam family: Bacterial small subunit ribosomal RNA
Source: RNAcentral
AGAGUUUGAUCCUGGCUCAGAGCGAACGCUGGCGGCAUGCUUAACACAUGCAAGUCGCACGGGCGGGGGCUUCGGUCCCUGUCAGUGGCGGACGGGUGAGUAACGCGUAGGGAUCUAUCCCUGGAUGGGGGACAACCGCGGGAAACUGCGGCUAAUACCGCAUGAAGGGCCGGGUUUGGCGAUCCGGUCUGAAAGCCUCG